ACUAUACUUCCAACUGUCCCUGAGCAACCAAUCUUUGGUAAACCUUAGAUUGUCGUCAACAAUUUCUUAAUCCUUUUAGUUAUAUCCAAUGCUAGACCUUUUCCCUUCUUAAUGCCCCAGGCAUUUGGAAAAUUUUAGAAAGGAUGAAUAUACAACAUGUAAUCGAUCCUAUAUCCGAAGCAUAUGGGACACGAUUCAUGAUGUCUCACAUAAAGACUAAACCAGUCUUUUGCUAUAAUAUUUCCAUUUCAAUUUGCCAAGUUCUCAUAAUUCAGAUUAUGAAAAGGGAUGUCGUAAUCAUAAUCGAAUUUUAGAACGCAAAUAAUGGACCCAUAUAUAGAAUUUUCUUAUGUUGAACCAUUCCAACAUAUCAUUCAUAUAUAUANCAAUCUUUGGUAAACCUUAGAUUGUCCUCGACAAUUGUUUAAUCCUUUUAGUCAUAUCCAGUUCUAAACCUUUUCCCUUCUUAAUGCCCCAGGCAUUUGGAAAAUUUUAGAACGGAUGAAUAUAGCACAUGUAAUCGAUCCUAUAUCCGAAGCAUAUGGGACACGAUUCAUGAUGUCUUACAUAAAGACUAAACCAGUCUUUUGCUAUAAUAUUUCCAUUUCAAUUUGCCAAGUUCUCAUAAUUCAGAUUAUGAAAAGGGAUGCCGUAAUCAUAAUCGAAUUUUAGAACGCAAAUAAUGGACCCAUAUACAAAAUUUCCUUAUGUUGAGCCAUUCCAACAUGAAAUUCAUAUAUAUCCUUGACU
Molecule: long non-coding RNA, 750 nt
Filed under: Lactuca sativa (garden lettuce)
Lineage: Eukaryota; Viridiplantae; Streptophyta; Magnoliopsida; Asterales; Asteraceae
Description: long non-coding RNA (LSAT_LNC008650)
Source: RNAcentral